Pogoniulus pusillus (Red-fronted tinkerbird) is the source of this 1227-nucleotide long non-coding RNA. RefSeq lists it as uncharacterized. The record is from RefSeq and is a predicted model, not a curated record. NCBI's taxonomy places the organism in Eukaryota, Metazoa, Chordata, Aves, Piciformes, Lybiidae. The transcript has 2 exons.
UGCUUAACUGGGCAGAGAGAUCAGAGAUCUUCCUUCUAUCAUCACUGGUGCUUCUGGUCACAGUACCUUAAAUGGAUUCUAUUGAAUGGUCCCUUUUGGGGAUGCUGUUUCUUUAGCAAAGAGAAGGUGCCUCUGCAUCAGAAAGGCAAGAAAAGGAAACAGAGCAGAAGAAGCGAUAGACCUUUCUCCUGAAUAGUGUGAACAAGCAGAAUCUAUGCAGAAGAAGAGGAAGGAAGAUGAAGUUUUAGGGAAAAAAAACCCCAAGGACAAGCACAUAAUCUGCAGAGUCUGUGAAAAGAACUAGGCAGACAUUGGUGUAGGGGAACAUAGCAGUAUUUAUUGACUUCUGGGAAAGCAAAAAAGUUCAGGCUCUGAAACAGAUUGUUCUAAGAAAGGGAACAUAUUGAUUGUUGGAAAGUAGAUAACUGAUGCUGGAGGAAGGGAAUUUGCAUGUACAGCCACAGCAUGCAAAAAUAAAACGUGUGCUGGCAAAUGCAGACAUUUUGAAUAUGCAGAUGUGACUAUGCAUAUACAUGUACAAGUGUUUGGUAUGCCAUAAAUCUCUGAGUAAAUUUUGCAGGUCCAUUUUCUGUUGCUCCUAAUACAAAAUUAUCUUGAGAGGAGCUUGAUGGGGGAGCGAGCAGUGAGAGGGGAAGUCUAUGUGGCACUUUAAAACGAGGAACAUGCUGUAAUUACAUUAAAACCAAGCAUUACGGGGAGGAAAUGCAAAGUUAUGAUUACUAUUAAAAGAGACCCAAGCAUGUUAAUUUAUUAAUAUUAGCAGUUUAAAGCAUCUAAACCCCUAGGUACUGACAUAAAAUUCUGCUAUAAAAUUAUGAUUAAGGCAUUUUCCUGUUUGUGGCCUCAAAUUAGUUUAAUUUUAAAGAUGCUUUUUCCCGGCAUGAUGCCACUUCAGGAAGGAAAAGUCAUUCAGUCUGCAUUAAUAACUUCACAGGAGUGGCAUAAAGCAGAGGAUUUCAUUGGUAAAGUUAGUUUCUGAGUUUCCUAAUGGAUUACUUUGCUCAUGAUUUGAGAGCUGACCAUUUUUGGUGCUAUUUUUAUCUCUUAACCUUUCAUAUUUCAUUAUUUUAUCUAUGUUUGAGUAUAAAAUAUUGAAUGAAAUGUAUUUUAGUGGAGAUCCAGAAUGGAAGGCAGAACUGUUAGAACUGAGCUAUGUGACUAUUUUCACCCUUCAUUUAAUUAAAAAACCCAAAAUUUUAGUAGAAA